CAGCAGCCGCGGUAAUACGUAGGUCCCGAGCGUUGUCCGGAUUUAUUGGGCGUAAAGCGAGCGCAGGCGGUCAGAUAAGUCUGAAGUUAAAGGCUGUGGCUUAACCAUAGUACGCUUUGGAAACUGUUUAGCUUGAGUGCAAGAGGGGAGAGUGGAAUUCCAUGUGUAGCGGUGAAAUGCGUAGAUAUGGGGAAGAACACCAGUGGCGAAGGCGGCUCACUGGACCGACACUGACGCUGAGGCGCGAAAGCGUGGGGAGCAAACAGGAUUAGAUACCCGAGUAGUCCCUGUCUCUUAUACC
Molecule: ribosomal RNA, 301 nt
Filed under: uncultured bacterium
Lineage: Bacteria
Description: partial 16S ribosomal RNA
Rfam family: Bacterial small subunit ribosomal RNA
Source: RNAcentral